GCGAAGGUGGCCGGAAUUGGUAGACGCGCUAGCUUCAGGUGUUAGUGUCCUUACGGACGUGGGGGUUCAAGUCCCCCCCCUCGCACCA
This 88-nucleotide transfer RNA is filed under the name Escherichia coli. RNAcentral's name for it is "tRNA-Leu". It matches the Rfam family "tRNA". From Rfam's summary of the family: Transfer RNA (tRNA) molecules are approximately 80 nucleotides in length. Their secondary structure includes four short double-helical elements and three loops (D, anti-codon, and T loops). Further hydrogen bonds mediate the characteristic L-shaped molecular structure. tRNAs have two regions of fundamental functional importance: the anti-codon, which is responsible for specific mRNA codon recognition, and the 3' end, to which the tRNAs corresponding amino acid is attached (by aminoacyl-tRNA synthetases). tRNAs cope with the degeneracy of the genetic code in two manners: having more than one tRNA (with a specific anti-codon) for a particular amino acid; and 'wobble' base-pairing, i.e. permitting non-standard base-pairing at the 3rd anti-codon position. Lineage: Bacteria; Pseudomonadati; Pseudomonadota; Gammaproteobacteria; Enterobacterales; Enterobacteriaceae. The record is from RNAcentral. RNAcentral also lists the same sequence under 1 other name.